Molecule: ribosomal RNA, 938 nt
Filed under: Plakortis sp. KY031
Lineage: Eukaryota; Metazoa; Porifera; Homoscleromorpha; Homosclerophorida; Plakinidae
Description: SSU rRNA
Source: RNAcentral
UCAAGACUAAGCCAUGCAUGUCUAAGUAUAAGCGAUCUUAUACGGCGAAACUGCGAAUGGCUCAUUAAAUCAGUUAUAGUUUAUUUGAUGGUCUCUCACCACUUGGAUAACCGUGGUAAUUCUAGAGCUAAUACAUGCGUCGAGUCCCGACUGUCGCGGAAGGGAUGUAUUUAUUAGAUUCAAAACCAAUGCGGGGCYCCGGUCCCGGUCUUUUGGUGAUUCAUAGUAACUGUUCGGAGCGCAGGGCCUUAWGCGCCGGCGCCGGAUCAUUCAAGUUUCUGCCCUAUCAACUGUCGAUGGUAAGGUAUUGGCUUACCAUGGUUGCAACGGGUGACGGAGAAUUAGGGUUCGAUUCCGGAGAGGGAGCCUGAGAAACGGCCACCACAUCCAAGGAAGGCAGCAGGCGCGCAAAUUACCCAAUCCCGACACGGGGAGGUAGUGACAAUAAAUAACAAUACAGGGCUUUCGUAAGUCUUGUAAUUGGAAUGAGAACAAUUUAAAUCCCUUAACGAGGAACAAUUGGAGGGCAAGUCUGGUGCCAGCAGCCGCGGUAAUUCCAGCUCCAAUAGCGUAUAUUAAAGUUGUUGCAGUUAAAAAGCUCGUAGUUGGAUUUCGGCGGCGCGGCGUCGGUCCGCCUGGCGGCGUGUCACUGGCGCCGCGCGGCUUUCUCUCGAGGGCCGCGCGUGCUCUUGAGUGAGCGUGCGCGUUACUCGGGACGUUUACUUUGAAAAAAUUAGAGUGUUCAAAGCAGGCUUUGGGGCUUGAAUACAUUAGCAUGGAAUAAUGGAAUAGGACGUCGGUCCUGUUUUGUUGGUUUCCGGGACCGAGGUAAUGAUUAAUAGGGACAGUUGGGGGCAUUCGUAUUCAAUUGUCAGAGGUGAAAUUCUUGGAUUUAUGGAAGACGGACGCAUGCGAAAGCAUUUGCCAAGGAUGUUUUC